This 1347-nucleotide ribosomal RNA is filed under the name Triticum aestivum (bread wheat). RNAcentral's name for it is "partial small subunit ribosomal RNA". The record is from RNAcentral. Lineage: Eukaryota; Viridiplantae; Streptophyta; Magnoliopsida; Poales; Poaceae.
AUGGAGGGAUUUUCCUUCCAGCCCCCCGCCGUCGAUGCCGCCGCCGCCCGCUACCCCGCCUCGGUUAUCAUUGGCAAAGAGGCCCACUUCGACGACGACAAGGGAAGGAAUGUCACUACCGCUGAAGCCAUGACGAGCACCGGCCACACCGUCGGGGUAACCUUCCACCUCGCCAAUCCUCCGGCAGUCUCCCACUUCAGCGUCCAUGGCCCUAGACUCAAGCGCGAGGAUUUCGAAGGUGUGCCCGAGGUCGUCUCCGCUCAGAAAGACCUCGUCCUCCUCCGCCUGGCCCUCACCUUUGGCCCAAGAAUUCGAAGCGGCACCCCUGGAUCGCCUGAUCGUGUGCUCCACGACUACUUCGUCUACGAGGCCCGCCGUGGCAUGGCGUCGCUGAAACUCAUCCCGGUUCUUUAUACUUAUUAUAAACCAAUGUCUAUCUGCAUCGUGCCCAGUGACGACGGGGAAUUCCUCAUCGCCGCUUUCCUCUGUACGAAUCACGUCUUCGAAGAGGACCGCUGCGUCUUCUCGUCCAAGACGGGGAAGUGGAGCAGCUGUGAACGUUUGGAACUCAAGAUACCUCCGGAGAUCAACUAUCACGACCUGCCCAGGCCAACCGACAAAGUGAUCCUGCUCGGAGGAGGCGAGGUGGGCUUGGUCGACCUCCGGCGGGGCAUCAAAAUCUGCAACGUGCUGGACGCGGACCCAGUCUUCCGUCUCAUACCGCUACCCAAGGCUGAAUUCUUCCAUGACAAUGACAAUUGGGACGACUCGCAGCUGAUCCGGGAUGUCGUCGUCUGCGAUGGCUUCAUCCAGCUUGUCGAGAUAGAUCGCCGUUUCAGGCAGGUGCUUGGCGCGAACGAUAAAAAGAAGAGCUGCAAGAAGAUGACCAGCGAUUUUGACAAGAAUACAGAUAUUAUCUACGACUCGGAGGUCCUCCACCGCAAUCAUGCCCGUCCGGAACUCAUUCCUGUCCCUGAUGGCUGGAAGAUCCGGACAUGUUACAGGCACAAAUCCUGGGACUAUUGGCUUAAGGGGCACGUUGUUGAUGUUGAUGGCUCGUUUGAUCAUGUGCCCGAGCUGUCGGAUGGCGGUGCCGGAAAAUAUGCAUUAAGGGACCUCGCGACAGCUUACCCGGCCCUGAGCGUUGUUCCUUCGGAAGAUGUUGUUUACCUCACGUCCAAGGUGAAGUCUGAUGACACCAAGGCCUGGAUGGUUGCUCUUCACCUCAGAAGCAAGACGCUGGAGGCACUUGGACCAUAUUCUGCAAGUUAUUUCAAACGGCCCAAGUUCCUUGUCUGUGCAUUUUCCGAAUAUCUGAAUACACCUCCAAAUCAGGUUCCCGCGUAA